CCUACGGGAGGCAGCAGUGAGGAAUAGUGGUCAAUGGGCGCGAGCCUGAACCAGCCAAGUAGCGUGAAGGAUGACUGCCCUACGGGUUGUAAACUUCUUUUAUAAAGGAAUAAAGUGGGGCACGUGUGCCUUUUUGUAUGGACUUUAUGAAUAAGGAUCGGCUAACUCCGUGCCAGCAGCCGCGGUAAUACGGAGGAUCCGAGCGUUAUCCGGAUUUAUUGGGUUUAAAGGGAGCGUAGAUGGGUUGUUAAGUCAGUUGUGAAAGUUUUCGGCUCAACCGUAAAAUUGCAAUUGAUACUGGCAGUCUUUCUUUCAGUUGCGGUCGGCGGAAUUCGUUGUGUAGCGG
RNAcentral lists this ribosomal RNA (346 nucleotides) under uncultured bacterium. RNAcentral describes it as "partial 16S ribosomal RNA". It matches the Rfam family "Bacterial small subunit ribosomal RNA", at positions 338 to 681 of the family's 1533-position model. The record is from RNAcentral.